AGGGGGCUGGGUGGCGCCGGCCGGGCCUGGGGCCGCCCGCGGCGUGCGUCGUCCCCGCCGUCACUGCGUCGUCCCGCUGCCGCAGCGGAGAGACCGCCCCCUCCCCCACCCGCGGGGCCCCUCGCGAUCACGUGGAUCCUGCGGGCGGACGGAACUCUGUCUUGCCGUCCCCAGGCCCGGCGGCCUUGUGAGCCCGCGAGCUCGGAUGACGGCCCCCGGGGCGCCCUGGGGGAGGGGGGGGGGGAGCUUCCCCUCCCCCCAGGGCUUCUGGGCCGGGACCGCGCGCCCCACCCCCACCCCCCUCCCCGAUAGGUCAACUGCAGGACUGCGGGCCUUCCGCGGCCAUCCCGGAAGGGGAGCUUGGGGCAGCGGCCCCCGCCCGAGCGCUCGCGCUUGGAGGCCCCUUCCUGGGGAGGUUCUGGAGCCCCGUGACUCCCCCUCCCCCAAGGUCACGGGGUCGGGGAGCAGGGGUGGAUUGCAGCGUCCGGAAGGAGAACAAAGGGCUCUCGGGGAAACAUUUCUCAGGGUUUAAAGUGAGGGGAGAGAAGCUGCCAGAAGCUGUCCUGGUCCCCAGAGACGGCAAACGCUGGGCAUAAAGCCCCCGGCCAGGGGGCGCCAGAGUGCCUCUCGCAAGGCCCUUGGGGGGGAGGGGGGCGCGCCCAGAACCGCCUGCAGGCUCCCUGCGGGGGCCUCGGGGCCCCGUCUGCAAAAUGAGCUAGAGCAGGCCGGGCCGUCCCUGUGUUCGUGCCAAGAAAGCCCCAGAUGGAGCCGCAGGGAGGGACUGGGCAGGGAAGACGGACUUCUGGGAAGGUCCGAGAGGAGCAGGCCUCGCUGGGGGGGAGCCUCCGGCUGCAGGGGCCGCCAUGACCCGUUAGCGGCGGCCGCCCCGCCCCUUGCUCCCUCGGCCGUGCUCCUUCAUGCAGAAAUGGAAGCCAGUUGUGACUGCGCCCUCCCGGUCCCCGCCAAGCAGCUGGGAAGCAGGAGCAGAGAGGGGCAGGGAGCUGGAGGCCUCUCUAGCUUCUAAUUUCCACCCAAGAAAGGCUGACCAGCGCCUGCCAAGUAGUGGCAAACCACAGGAAUAAAACCUCUCGGCGAGAGUGAAGCGAGUGCAACCAGAACCUCGUACGCAGUAGCAGCAACUUUGGGCCCCGAUCAACAUGAUGGAUUCGGCUCCGGGACAGCUCCAAAAGCCUCAUUUUGGAAAAUGCCACCCUCGCCUAAAGAACUAUGGAAUCCGAAAGCAGGUCGAAGCAGACUCUUCACUUUUUCUUUCUUUCUCCAGGUUUUCCCUUUUGUUCCAAAUAGUUCCAUGACAGGACUAAUGUAGAACUUUACUAACACGAUUGCACAUGUGAUCUCUCACACUGCUUGCUGUCUUGGAGAGGGGAGGGGAGGAGAAAAAUGAAACUAGCUUGGUGUUGUUACUAUACAAUUGUAUGUAGUCACAAUGUAUAUUAUAUGUGAAUAUGUCUUUAUAUGUAUAUGAAUGUUCAUCUAUAUAAUUGAAAAAAAUUUACUAUGAAGGAUUGAAAAUUCAUUGAGCCAGAAGUGCCCUCUCUUCAGCCUGUGCCCUGUCUGCCCUCAUCUCCAACUAGCCUAUCCCAGAAAAAAAGACACAAAUAAAAACAUCAUAGGGCA
Sarcophilus harrisii (Tasmanian devil) is the source of this 1638-nucleotide long non-coding RNA. RefSeq lists it as uncharacterized. Lineage: Eukaryota; Metazoa; Chordata; Mammalia; Dasyuromorphia; Dasyuridae. The transcript is spliced from 2 exons. The record is from RefSeq and is a predicted model, not a curated record.